AGAGUUGGCCUGGCAUAUUCGUCAGCCAGUGUCCUAAAGAUUGCUUCCACAAUUGCAAUUCGAUAUUCGCUGUUACGUCAGCAAUUUGGUCCCCCAAAGCAGCCUGAAGUUAGUAUUUUGGAUUACCAAUCUCAACAACACAAGCUAAUGCCAAUGCUGGCAUCAACAUACGCCUUCCAAUUUGCUACUGUGCAACUAGUAGACAAGUAUGCACAGAUGAAG
RNAcentral lists this unclassified non-coding RNA (222 nucleotides) under Hevea brasiliensis (rubber tree). The record is from RNAcentral. Lineage: Eukaryota; Viridiplantae; Streptophyta; Magnoliopsida; Malpighiales; Euphorbiaceae.